CAGGCUGUGCCCUUAGGGGACCCAGACUAGGUGGGUAGGUGGGUCGGUGGGCAGGUGGGCAGGUGGGUGAGUUCAUGGUUGCAGGGAUAAAGCCAUAGCUAACACUGUCUCAGAUUUUGGGGUACCAGCCUCCUCCCCCAGUGUGGGCUCCAGCUGUUGCUGAGAGCUGGAUGUUGCAAGCCUGCGGUUAGUUGGCUCACUGAGGCUGCAGAUGGUGAUAAGACACAGGGUGAUAUUUAAAGGAGCGAUGUAUCUCCCUGGGUGUCAC
This is a non-coding RNA of Pelobates cultripes (western spadefoot toad), 268 nucleotides long. The record is from the annotation of a GenBank genome assembly. NCBI's taxonomy places the organism in Eukaryota, Metazoa, Chordata, Amphibia, Anura, Pelobatidae.